CGGACGGGUGAGUAACGCGUGAGAAUCUGCCCUUAGGAGGGGGACAACAGUUGGAAACGACUGCUAAUACCCCAUAUGCCGAGAGGUGAAACAUUAAUGGCCUGAGGAGGAGCUCGCGUCUGAUUAGCUAGUUGGUGGGGUAACGGCCUACCAAGGCGACGAUCAGUAGCUGGUCUGAGAGGAUGAUCAGCCACACUGGGACUGAGACACGGCCCAGACUCCUACGGGAGGCAGCAGUGGGGAAUUUUCCGCAAUGGGCGAAAGCCUGACGGAGCAAGACCGCGUGAGGGAGGAAGGUCUGUGGAUUGUAAACCUCUUUUCUCAGGGAAGAAGAACUGACGGUACCUGAGGAAUCAGCAUCGGCUAACUCCGUGCCAGCAGCCGCGGUAAUACGGAGGAUGCAAGCGUUAUCCGGAAUUAUUGGGCGUAAAGCGUCCGUAGGUGGCUAAGCAAGUCUGCUGUUAAAGAGCGGAGCUAAACUCCGUAAAGGCGGUGGAAACUGCAUAGCUAGAGUGUGGUAGGGGUAGAGGGAAUUCCCAGUGUAGCGGUGAAAUGCGUAGAUAUUGGGAAGAACACCGGUGGCGAAGGCGCUCUACUGGGCCACAACUGACACUGAUGGACGAAAGCUAGGGGAGCGAAAGGGAUUAGAUACCCCUGUAGUC
RNAcentral lists this ribosomal RNA (662 nucleotides) under uncultured cyanobacterium. Its description in RNAcentral is "bacterial SSU rRNA". It matches the Rfam family "Bacterial small subunit ribosomal RNA", at positions 99 to 795 of the family's 1533-position model. The record is from RNAcentral. Lineage: Bacteria; Bacillati; Cyanobacteriota.